GUCAAUUUAGUUUAAACAAAACUUUUGCUUUGCACGCAAAAAAUGGGGUAAUCCCAAUUAACA
RNAcentral lists this transfer RNA (63 nucleotides) under Clymenella torquata (bamboo worm). RNAcentral describes it as "tRNA-Ala". It matches the Rfam family "tRNA". Rfam says of the family: Transfer RNA (tRNA) molecules are approximately 80 nucleotides in length. Their secondary structure includes four short double-helical elements and three loops (D, anti-codon, and T loops). Further hydrogen bonds mediate the characteristic L-shaped molecular structure. tRNAs have two regions of fundamental functional importance: the anti-codon, which is responsible for specific mRNA codon recognition, and the 3' end, to which the tRNAs corresponding amino acid is attached (by aminoacyl-tRNA synthetases). tRNAs cope with the degeneracy of the genetic code in two manners: having more than one tRNA (with a specific anti-codon) for a particular amino acid; and 'wobble' base-pairing, i.e. permitting non-standard base-pairing at the 3rd anti-codon position. The record is from RNAcentral. Lineage: Eukaryota; Metazoa; Annelida; Polychaeta; Maldanidae.